GGACGAAGCGAGAGUGACGGUACCUGCAGAAGAAGGACCGGCCAACUACGUGCCAGCAGCCGCGGUAAUACGUAGGGUCCGAGCGUUGUCCGGAAUUAUUGGGCGUAAAGGGCUCGUAGGCGGUUCGUCACGUCGGGAGUGAAAACUCGGAGCUCAACUCCGAGCCUGCUUCCGAUACGGGCAGACUAGAGGUAGGCAGGGGAGAGCGGAACUCCUGGUGUAGCGGUGGAAUGCGCAGAUAUCAGGAAGAACACCGGUGGCGAAGGCGGCUCUCUGGGCCUUACCUGACGCUGAGGAGCGAAAGCGUGGGUAGCGAACAGGAUUAGAUACCCUGGUAGUCCACGCCGUAAACGUUGGGCGCUAGGUGUGGGGGACAUUCCACGUCCUCCGUGCCGCAGCUAACGCAUUAAGCGCCCCGCCUGGGGAGUACGGCCGCAAGGCUAAAACUCAAAGGAAUUGACGGGGGCCCGCACAAGCGGCGGAGCAUGCGGAUUAAUUCGAUGCAACGCGAAGAACCUUACCUGGGUUUGACAUAUAGGGAAAUCCUCCAGAGAUGGGGGGUCCGUAAGGGUCCUAUACAGGUGGUG
Molecule: ribosomal RNA, 587 nt
Filed under: Kribbella ginsengisoli
Lineage: Bacteria; Bacillati; Actinomycetota; Actinomycetes; Propionibacteriales; Kribbellaceae
Description: bacterial SSU rRNA
Rfam family: Bacterial small subunit ribosomal RNA
Source: RNAcentral